UAGUACCUUCGGUGGUUCCUAUACCUGUUAUGCUCCUUGGACUAUUUACAAGUGGUAUUCAAGCUCUUAUUUUUGCAACUUUAGCCGCGGCUUAUAAGUCAUAACUGAUGCUCAUCAUUAGCUUUAGUGUGAAUUAUUGAGAGUUUUGAUUGGAGUGAUGCCGAUUAGAGAAGACGCAAAGAGAGGUGUUUAUGUAGAGAAUAUCAAAGAAGUAGAGGUCGCAAGUGCUCGAGAUGUUAUUCAGCAACUUGUCAGGUAUCUCCCAGUACAGAAUGUUGAUUAAUAUUUGCUAUAUUUUUCUUUUUAUUUUUAGUUGGCCUAUUUUUUUCCCCUUUUCAUUUGGCAUUGAUACUUUAUUAUUUUAAAAGUUGUAUACUUAUGAUGUCUCAAAUGGAUCAUUUUCAGUUGUGCCAUGCCUCCUUACCUAUUUAUCAGUUCUUCCACUUGGUUGAUGUGUUUAUUUUCAGUGGUCCCAAGCCUUUCGCAAUAUAUAUUUUGGAAUGUUAGUAUGUUUUCUCUGUUUCAAAUAAAUACUCAGUUUUAUCAACACGUAUUAUUGGAUCAACAUGAGUACAUUGGGCUCGAAGAAUCUUGGUGAACCAUGGGUUCCAGGAUAAUAUGAUUCCACUAAUUUUUUCCUUCUUGACUACUCUGAAAGCCAUUCUGGUCAUGCUUAUAGGGAGCAGUGAACAGAAAAGUGGCUGCCUCUAAUAUGAAUCUUGCAAGCAGCCAUUCUCAUAGUGUUUUCACUUGUGUCAUUGAAAGUAAGGUGGGUAUUUGAGUUCUUUCUGUUGUUUUGGGUUUUCUGUAUGAGAGGUAUCAAAAUGGGUUAUGGACAUGCAUGGAAAAAAAGACUCUUAACUGAAGUUUCAUUUGUAGUGGGAAUCCCAAGUUGUAACUCAGCACAGAUUUGCUUGGCUAGAUCUUGUUGAUCUGGCUGGAUCAGAGAGGUAAUACCAUUCCUAAAUUGUUCUGUUGUAAACUGGAGGGUUUUACAAUGGAAAAGAUAGAUACUGAAUGAAAAAAUUUCCCUUCUUUUGUCACACUUUUGGUUUUUCUAUAGCAGGAAGAAGAGUUCAGGUGCCGAAGGCGAACAUCUCAAGGAAGCCACAUCAACAGGUUACUUUCAACAUUAGGGCCUGUUACUAUAUCUAUAGUUCUGAGUGGAUAUCUAUAAAUGUCAACCUUCUCCAGCUCAUUCUUGUUCUUCUCAAUGUCUAAGAUGGUCCAUUCCAGUUCCCCCCACCCCUGAGAUGGUUAUUUGAGUAAUUGAGUUUGUUCCUCAUCUGCAGACUAGUGAUCAUGAACCUUGUUAGUAUUUCUAACGGGAAGUCUCUCCAUGUUCCUUAUCGCGAUUCAAAGUUUACAUUUUUGCUUCAGUUGAAGGUGUUCGAGCUCCGUUUGGGAGAAUCCAUUAUUAUGUGAUGUGGCUUGUUUACCUAUUUUCUUAAUGACAAGAAUACCCUUCAGGGUUAUGAUGUUCCUAUUAUACCCUUCUCCAUCGUUACCCUUUAAACCCCAAAUAACACAGAUCAUUUCAUACCUCUUCUUCUCCAUCGCUACCAACGAACCCUAAAUACUGCAAACAGAUGCAGUGAAGAGCACCAAGUGAAUCCUGCUCGCAUUAACAACCAUCGUAUGGCCAGGAGACAACCUUCAUCACUACGAUUGGUGGCAGCGACGGCGACGUCGGGAUACCCCUUUACAGUUCUGCAACUUAGGGAGUUUCGGUGGUGAACUAAAUUGCACAGUUGGUGUACUGCAACUAUGUUCUGUGAACCAGAGGGCAAAAAAAAGUGGAGCUUCGGUGGUGAACUGAAAUUUGAACAGUCCGACGAGUUCAAGCGACUAUGUGAGAACCCGGGAAACUAAGAAUCUAUUCAUUGGAGACACUAAGCACGCUAAAAUUUGCUCAACGUGCGAAAUUCAUCAAGAACAAUGCAAUUGAAAAUGAAGAUGUUUCUGGAGAUGUUCUUGCCUUGCAUAUGCAGAUUCAGCAACUCAAGGCAAAACAAAGAGAAGACGAGAUACAAAGUUUAAAAGUGAGGCUUCGUUUCCAUGAAGCAGGGAUAAAGAGGUUAGAGGCAGUUGCCUCUGGUAAGAUAUCAGCUGAAACACAUCUUUUGCAAGCGGAGGAGGAACAUCUAAAGGAGAGAGCGGUUCUUCACACCCAAGUUGACCAAAACCAAUAAGUGACAAGAUUUGUCAUGGAAAAUCUGCAACUAAAAGAA
Macadamia integrifolia is the source of this 2231-nucleotide long non-coding RNA. RefSeq lists it as uncharacterized. The transcript has 5 exons. Lineage: Eukaryota; Viridiplantae; Streptophyta; Magnoliopsida; Proteales; Proteaceae. The record is from RefSeq and is a predicted model, not a curated record.